This 253-nucleotide ribosomal RNA is filed under the name uncultured bacterium. Its description in RNAcentral is "partial 16S ribosomal RNA". It matches the Rfam family "Archaeal small subunit ribosomal RNA", at positions 474 to 727 of the family's 1478-position model. The record is from RNAcentral.
UACCAGCACCCCGAGCGGUCGGGACGAUUAUUGGGCCUAAAGCAUCCGUAGCCGGUUCUGCAAGUCCCCCGUUAAAUCCAGCUGCUCAACAGAUGGGCCGCGGAGGAUACUCCAGAGCUAGGAGGCAGGAGAGGCAAGCGGUACUCAGUGGGUAGGGGUAAAAUCCGUUGAUCCAUUGAAGACCACCAGUGGCGAAGGCGGCUUGCCAGAAUGCGCUCGACGGUGAGGGAUGAAAGCUGGGGGAGCAAACCGG